GACGAACGCUGGCGGCGUGCCUAAUACAUGCAAGUUGAGCGCUGAAGGUUGGUACUUGUACCAACUGGAUGAGCAGCGAACGGGUGAGUAACGCGUGGGGAAUCUGCCUUUGAGCGGGGGACAACAUUUGGAAACGAAUGCUAAUACCGCAUAAAAACUUUAAACACAAGUUUUAAGUUUGAAAGAUGCAAUUGCAUCACUCAAAGAUGAUCCCGCGUUGUAUUAGCUAGUUGGUGAGGUAAAGGCUCACCAAGGCGAUGAUACAUAGCCGACCUGAGAGGGUGAUCGGCCACAUUGGGACUGAGACACGGCCCAAACUCCUACGGGAGCCAGCAGUAGGGAAUCUUCGGCAAUGGACGAAAGUCUGACCGAGCAACGCCGCGUGAGUGAAGAAGGUUUUCGGAUCGUAAAACUCUGUUGGUAGAGAAGAACGUUGGUGAGAGUGGAAAGCUCAUCAAGUGACGGUAACUACCCAGAAAGGGACGGCUAACUACGU
This 496-nucleotide ribosomal RNA is filed under the name uncultured bacterium. RNAcentral describes it as "partial 16S ribosomal RNA". It matches the Rfam family "Bacterial small subunit ribosomal RNA", at positions 28 to 506 of the family's 1533-position model. The record is from RNAcentral.